This 414-nucleotide ribosomal RNA is filed under the name uncultured microorganism. Its description in RNAcentral is "bacterial SSU rRNA". It matches the Rfam family "Archaeal small subunit ribosomal RNA", at positions 459 to 872 of the family's 1478-position model. The record is from RNAcentral.
CAGCCGCCGCGGUAAUACCGGCGGCCCGAGUGGCGGUCACUAUUAUUGGGCUUAAAGCGUCCGUAGCCGGGUUGGGAAGUCCUCCGGGAAAUCUGGCCGCUUAAAGGUCAGAAUGCCGGAGGAUACUCCCAGCCUAGGGAGCGGGAGAGGCCGAGGGUAUUCCCGGGGUAGGGGUGAAAUACUAUAAUCCCGGGAGGACCACCUGUGGCGAAGGCGCUCGGCUGGAACGCGUCCGACGGUGAGGGACGAAGGCCAGGGGAGCAAACCGGAUUAGAUACCCGGGUAGUCCUGGCUGUAAACGAUGCGGACUUUGUGUCGGACAAGCUAUGAGCUUGUCCGGUGCCGGAGGGAAACCGUUAAGUCCGCCGCCUGGGGAGUACGGCCGCAAGGCUGAAACUUAAAGGAAUUGGCGGG